CAGAACAUGGCAAAAUGAUGGGAUAGCUCAGCAGCUCGAGCACCUGCCCGGUCACACUUGGAGCUCUUGGAAGUUGGCCAGUGACAUCCAGCACCACAGAGUCCACUCUGGAGCGAACCUGGCACGUGAUUCUAA
RNAcentral lists this long non-coding RNA (135 nucleotides) under Cavia porcellus (domestic guinea pig). Its description in RNAcentral is "lncRNA (ENSCPOG00000038280.1)". The record is from RNAcentral. Lineage: Eukaryota; Metazoa; Chordata; Mammalia; Rodentia; Caviidae.